UACGUAGGGGGCAAGCGUUAUCCGGAUUUACUGGGUGUAAAGGGAGCGUAGACGGCGCGGCAAGUCUGAAGUGAAAGGCGGGGGCUCAACCCCCGGACUGCUUUGGAAACUGUCAUGCUAGAGUGCAGGAGGGGUAAGCGGAAUUCCUAGUGUAGCGGUGAAAUGCGUAGAUAUUAGGAGGAACACCGGCGGCGAAGGCGGCCUACUGGACUGUAACUGACGUUGAGGCUCGAAGGCGUGGGGAG
This 245-nucleotide ribosomal RNA is filed under the name uncultured Lachnospiraceae bacterium. RNAcentral's name for it is "partial 16S ribosomal RNA". It matches the Rfam family "Bacterial small subunit ribosomal RNA", at positions 524 to 768 of the family's 1533-position model. The record is from RNAcentral. Lineage: Bacteria; Bacillati; Bacillota; Clostridia; Lachnospirales; Lachnospiraceae.